This 178-nucleotide ribosomal RNA is filed under the name Staphylococcus xylosus. RNAcentral describes it as "partial 16S ribosomal RNA". It matches the Rfam family "Bacterial small subunit ribosomal RNA", at positions 287 to 462 of the family's 1533-position model. Lineage: Bacteria; Bacillati; Bacillota; Bacilli; Caryophanales; Staphylococcaceae. The record is from RNAcentral.
CCGACCUGAGAGGGUGAUCGAGCCACACUGAAAACUGAGACACGGUCCAGACUCCUACGGGAGGCAGCAGUAGGGAAUCUUCCGCAAUGGGCGAAAGCCUGACGGAGCAACGCCGCGUGAGUGAUGAAGGGUUUCGGCUCGUAAAACUCUGUUAUUAGGGAAGAACAAAUGUGUAGUA